Molecule: ribosomal RNA, 1041 nt
Filed under: Klebsiella pneumoniae
Lineage: Bacteria; Pseudomonadati; Pseudomonadota; Gammaproteobacteria; Enterobacterales; Enterobacteriaceae
Description: bacterial SSU rRNA
Rfam family: Bacterial small subunit ribosomal RNA
Source: RNAcentral
UGACACAUGCAGUCGAGCGGUAGCACAGAGAGCUUGCUCUCGGGUGACGAGCGGCGGACGGGUGAGUAAUGUCUGGGAAACUGCCUGAUGGAGGGGGAUAACUACUGGAAACGGUAGCUAAUACCGCAUAACGUCGCAAGACCAAAGUGGGGGACCUUCGGGCCUCAUGCCAUCAGAUGUGCCCAGAUGGGAUUAGCUAGUAGGUGGGGUAACGGCUCACCUAGGCGACGAUCCCUAGCUGGUCUGAGAGGAUGACCAGCCACACUGGAACUGAGACACGGUCCAGACUCCUACGGGAGGCAGCAGUGGGGAAUAUUGCACAAUGGGCGCAAGCCUGAUGCAGCCAUGCCGCGUGUGUGAAGAAGGCCUUCGGGUUGUAAAGCACUUUCAGCGGGGAGGAAGGCGUUAAGGUUAAUAACCUUGGCGAUUGACGUUACCCGCAGAAGAAGCACCGGCUAACUCCGUGCCAGCAGCCGCGGUAAUACGGAGGGUGCAAGCGUUAAUCGGAAUUACUGGGCGUAAAGCGCACGCAGGCGGUCUGUCAAGUCGGAUGUGAAAUCCCCGGGCUCAACCUGGGAACUGCAUUCGAAACUGGCAGGCUAGAGUCUUGUAGAGGGGGGUAGAAUUCCAGGUGUAGCGGUGAAAUGCGUAGAGAUCUGGAGGAAUACCGGUGGCGAAGGCGGCCCCCUGGACAAAGACUGACGCUCAUGUGCGAAAGCGUGGGGAGCAAACAGGAUUAGAUACCCUGGUAGUCCACGCCGUACACGAUGUCGAUUUGAAUGCUGUGUCCUUGAUGCGUGGCUACCGGAGCUAACGCGAUAAAUCGACCGUCUGCGGAGUACAGUCGCGAGCAUCAAACUCAAAUGAGCUGACGGGGGUCCGCACUAGCGGUGGAGCAUGUGGAUCAAUUCGAUGCAACGCGAGCAUCAUACGUGCUCGAGACAUACACAGGACUAACUAAAGAUGGAUAGUUGCCUCGGUGCUGGGAAACAGGGCUGCAUCGCUGUCGUCAGCUCGUGUGGGGAAUGAUGGAGUAAGUCC